CCAUCCUCGCUGUCUUUCAUUAAAGCACUUAAUCCAAAGUUCCAAACAUUAACUAGAAAAAAGAAAAUAAAAGACAAAAAUAACAAACUAAACCAUUACCAAAAAAAACACACAUCUCCUUCAAAAACCCUCCUCCCUUCUCUCUUCCCUUGUCCAACAACAACAACAACAACAAAGCAAUGUCAGGCUUUGGGUUUCUCUACUACCCUCAUCACUUUCUCUUCUUAGUGUUCUUUCUCACCAUUUUUACGCUCAACCAAGCUCAUGGUUUGGAGGAGCAAAACAGUACAAUGAUGAUGGUACCAGUGAUUGAUAAUCACCAAACAAGAAUGAUGAUGAGUUCAUGGAUGAAGAUGAGUGAAUAUCGUAGAAGAAAACUAAGAAGCUUUAGAAUUUGUGCAGUCUGUACUUGCUGUGGUGGGCUUAAAGGUCUUUGUUUGCCUUCUCCUUGUUGUUAUUCCAUCAACUGCAACAUUCCAAACAGACCUUUUGGUUUUUGUUCGCUUUCUCCUAAAUCUUGUAAUUGUUUUGGUUGUCAUCUCUGAAACAAAAACCAGAAAUUAUUUUGUUUUACUUGAAAAGGGAUUUUAUUGUGAAAUUGUUAUUCUGUAAGGAGUGUGAAUGAAAAUCCAAAAUCAAAAAAGAGAAAGGAUAUUUGUUUCUUUUUGUUAUUGUUUCUUAGUCUCACUUAAGAAACAAACAGUGGGUCUUGUUAAUGAGUGCUUAAUUUUAUAGUAAUCAAAUCUUAGUGAGA
This is a long non-coding RNA of Papaver somniferum (opium poppy), 754 nucleotides long. RefSeq lists it as uncharacterized. The record is from RefSeq and is a predicted model, not a curated record. Lineage: Eukaryota; Viridiplantae; Streptophyta; Magnoliopsida; Ranunculales; Papaveraceae. The transcript is spliced from 2 exons.